Molecule: ribosomal RNA, 484 nt
Filed under: uncultured bacterium
Lineage: Bacteria
Description: partial 16S ribosomal RNA
Rfam family: Bacterial small subunit ribosomal RNA
Source: RNAcentral
AUUGAACGCUCGCGGAAUGCUUUACACAUGCAAGUCGAGCGGCAGCGCGGCCUUCGGGCUGGCGGCGAGCGGCGAACGGGUGAGUAAUGCAUCGGAACAUGCCCAGUCGUGGGGGAUAACACUUCGAAAGAAGUGCUAAUACCGCAUACGUCCUGAGGGGGAAAGCGGGGGAUCGCAAGACCUCGCGCGAUUGGAGUGGCCGAUGUCAGAUUAGCUAGUUGGUGGGGUAAAGGCCUACCAAGGCGACGAUCUGUAGCUGGUCUGAGAGGAUGAUCAGCCACACUGGGACUGAGACACGGCCCAGACUCCUACGGGAGGCAGCAGUGGGGAAUUUUGGACAAUGGGGGCAACCCUGAUCCAGCCAUUCCGCGUGAGUGAAGAAGGCCUUCGGGUUGUAAAGCUCUUUCGGCAGGAACGAAACGGUGGGCUCUAACAUAGUCCGCUAAUGACGGUACCUGAAGAAGAAGCACCGGCUAACUACGUG